This 253-nucleotide unclassified non-coding RNA is filed under the name uncultured Alphaproteobacteria bacterium. RNAcentral's name for it is "contains 16S-23S intergenic spacer region". It matches the Rfam family "Bacterial small subunit ribosomal RNA", at positions 524 to 776 of the family's 1533-position model. Lineage: Bacteria; Pseudomonadati; Pseudomonadota; Alphaproteobacteria. The record is from RNAcentral.
UACGUAGGUGGCAUGCGUUGUUCGGAAUUACUGGGCGUAAAGCGCACGUAGGCGGACUUGUAAGUCAGGGGUGAAAUCCCGGGGCUCAACCCCGGAACUGCCUUUGGUACUGGUAGUCUAGAGUCCGAGAGAGGUGAGUGGAAUUCCGAGUGUAGAGGUGAAAUUCGUAGAUAUUCGGAGGAACACCAGUGGCGAAGGCGGCUCACUGGCUCGGUACUGACGCUGAGGUGCGAAAGCGUGGGGAGCAAACAGG